GCGGGUGUGGCGAAACUGGUAGACGCACUGGAUUUAGGUUCCAGCGCCGCAAGGCAUGGGGGUUCAAGUCCCUUCACCCGCACCA
Molecule: transfer RNA, 85 nt
Filed under: Acetobacteraceae bacterium
Lineage: Bacteria; Pseudomonadati; Pseudomonadota; Alphaproteobacteria; Acetobacterales; Acetobacteraceae
Also listed under: 3 other names
Description: tRNA-Leu
Rfam family: tRNA
About the family: Transfer RNA (tRNA) molecules are approximately 80 nucleotides in length. Their secondary structure includes four short double-helical elements and three loops (D, anti-codon, and T loops). Further hydrogen bonds mediate the characteristic L-shaped molecular structure. tRNAs have two regions of fundamental functional importance: the anti-codon, which is responsible for specific mRNA codon recognition, and the 3' end, to which the tRNAs corresponding amino acid is attached (by aminoacyl-tRNA synthetases). tRNAs cope with the degeneracy of the genetic code in two manners: having more than one tRNA (with a specific anti-codon) for a particular amino acid; and 'wobble' base-pairing, i.e. permitting non-standard base-pairing at the 3rd anti-codon position.
Source: RNAcentral